GUUGCUACGCGCGUUUCAGCCGCUGUUGUAACGUUGGCUGCGUUGACCCGUCAAUCAUAGCAGGCCUUGGACAGUCUCGAACUCCACUCCCGAUGCACGGGAAGGUGCUCCAAAGACCCAGACGUCCCAGAAUUCGUCCUUCCGGUGAAUCGAAAUUCAAUUUCCCUCUCAAGUUUUGUUGUUGCUCAAUUCCGUCGCCUGCUUGCUUUGAUGCGACUUCGGUUUCUUUUGCUUGUUGUUUGGACGAGCCGAGUACCUAAAAUGUGUGUGUAGGAUUCGGUUGUGUACUUGGAACCACUGGCCUACAUAUUCUGGGUUGCAAGCUUUUCCCUUGGAGCAAAUUUAGCUGACGGGCGUCACGAAGCGGCGCCAGACAUUUAAGGAUAAGAUACAUAGAGAGAGAGAGAAAGAGAGCUGAAAAGAGAGGAUAAGCGAAAAGGCGAGUAGGUACUGGAUUCUCUUCCGGUUCUGCAGAUUAUGGUGAUGAUGGAAUCCGCUGGAAUGCUACCGGUUUUCGGGCGGCUCAAUGGCUUCAGCUCAUCAUCACACGAAAACUGUCACCUUAACCUCUCACUCGAGUCUCUGUUUCAUGAAAUCCAUGAAAAAUACGGAUCAUCACUUCGUUAAACGAAUGUCACCGGUUCGAAACGCACAUUAACAUAAGCUAAUCCCCUGUACGGCACUGCACCUCAGCAGCUCAUUAUCUUCCAAAUCGCUGCAACCUAAUCCGCAACGCGCAAUGAGUCAGGGACGGGAGCACUGCCAGCGCAAGUCAAGUAAACCAGAAGUGACUCAUAUUUACAAGGCCAUUAGCUACCAUGACGUGCAAACCCCGGGGCUGCGCCGACCAUGACCCCUGGGGGGGACGGUUAAGACCGUUCCCCGGGUGCAGCUGCAACUCGUAUGAUGUCGAUCUCUUGCGCGCCGAUUCCAUUUGACCUUCCCGUUUGGUGACUUCCGUGGUAAACAGUUUCCAAUCAUGAUGCACCGCUGGUGCAUUCUUCUGGUAAACAGCGGCUGCGUUCGAGGUCGGUUCGUUUCGCUACGCCCCUGCCCCGUCACAGCCCUCAAUCACCAGAGGCGGCUUGCGUCAGCGAAAUGUGUUCAAGUGCAAGGCGCCACCCGCAGUGUUUGUCAACGGCCCACCGGUCCCGGGGCGAAGCGAAUGGAACGAAAGGUUAUUUGAUCUGUGUUGCUCCGUUUUUGUUUUUUGUUUUUGGCAGAUGUUUGCGAUGCUUUCAGGGUUGCUGGGUUCAAGCUCUUUGCUUUUGAAACAAUGUGUGAAUAGUUAAAUUGUUGGUUUCUGUAAGAAAAGCCGUGGGUGGUAGAGAGACCCAAACAACAGC
Long non-coding RNA from Anopheles merus, 1346 nucleotides. RefSeq lists it as uncharacterized. NCBI's taxonomy places the organism in Eukaryota, Metazoa, Arthropoda, Insecta, Diptera, Culicidae. The transcript is spliced from 3 exons. The record is from RefSeq and is a predicted model, not a curated record.